CCUACGGGGGGCAGCAGUGGGGAAUAUUGGACAAUGGGGGGAACCCUGAUCCAGCGACGCCGCGUGAGUGAAGAAGUAUUUCGGUAUGGAAAGCUCUAUCAGCAGGGAAGAAAGAAAUGACGGUACCUGACUAAGAAGCCCCGGCUAACUACGUGCCAGCAGCCGCGGUAAUACGUAGGGGGCAAGCGUUAUCCGGAUUUACUGGGUGUAAAGGGAGCGUAGACGGCGAUGCAAGUCUGAAGUGAAAAGCGGGGGCCCAACCUCCGGACUGCUUUGGAAACUGUAUGGCUGGAGUGCAGGAGAGGUAAGUGGAAUUCCUAGUGUAGCGGUGAAAUGCGUAGAGAUUAGGAGGAACACCAGUGGCGAAGGCGGCUUACUGGACUGUAACUGACGUUGAGGCUCGAAAGCGUGGGGAGCAAACAGGAUUAGAUACCCUUGUAGUC
Molecule: ribosomal RNA, 443 nt
Filed under: uncultured bacterium
Lineage: Bacteria
Description: partial 16S ribosomal RNA
Rfam family: Bacterial small subunit ribosomal RNA
Source: RNAcentral